GAUGAACGCUGGCGGCGUGCCUAAUACAUGCGAGUCGAGCGAACAGAUGAGGAGCUUGCUCCUCUGACGUUAGCGGCGGACGGGUGAGUAACACGUGGAUAACCUACCUAUAAGACUGGGAUAACUUCGGGAAACCGGAGCUAAUACCGGAUAAUAUAUUGAACCGCAUGGUUCAAUAGUGAAAGACGGUUUUGCUGUCACUUAUUGAUGGAUCCGCGCCGCAUUAGCUAGUUGGUAAGGUAACGGCUUACCAAGGCAACGAUGCGUAGCCGACCUGAGAGGGUGAUCGGCCACACUGGAACUGAGACACGGUCCAGACUCCUACGGGAGGCAGCAGUAGGGAAUCUUCCGCAAUGGGCGAAAGCCUGACGGAGCAACGCCGCGUGAGUGAUGAAGGUCUUCGGAUCGUAAAACUCUGUUAUUAGGGAAGAACAAAUGUGUAAGUAACUAUGCACGUCUUGACGGUACCUAAUCAGAAAGCCACGGCUAACUACGUG
This 497-nucleotide ribosomal RNA is filed under the name uncultured bacterium. RNAcentral's name for it is "partial 16S ribosomal RNA". It matches the Rfam family "Bacterial small subunit ribosomal RNA", at positions 28 to 507 of the family's 1533-position model. The record is from RNAcentral.